RNAcentral lists this transfer RNA (77 nucleotides) under Erysipelotrichaceae bacterium MTC7. RNAcentral's name for it is "tRNA-Arg". It matches the Rfam family "tRNA". Rfam says of the family: Transfer RNA (tRNA) molecules are approximately 80 nucleotides in length. The record is from RNAcentral. Lineage: Bacteria; Bacillati; Bacillota; Erysipelotrichia; Erysipelotrichales; Erysipelotrichaceae.
GUCUACGUAGCUCAGUCGGAUAGAGCAUACGCCUUCUAAGCGUACGGUCAGGGGUUCGAAUCCCUUCGUGGACGCCA